Molecule: ribosomal RNA, 1371 nt
Filed under: uncultured bacterium
Lineage: Bacteria
Description: bacterial SSU rRNA
Rfam family: Bacterial small subunit ribosomal RNA
Source: RNAcentral
GAUGAACGCUGGCGGCGUGCCUAAUACAUGCAAGUCGAGCGAACGGACGAGAAGCUUGCUUCUCUGAUGUUAGCGGCGGACGGGUGGGUAACACGUGGAUAACCUACCUAUAAGACUGGGAUAACUUCGGGAAACCGGAGCUAAUACCGGAUAAUAUUUUGAACCGCAUGGUUCAAAAGUGAAAGACGGUCUUGCUGUCACUUAUAGAUGGACCCGCGCUGCAUUAGCUAGUUGGUAAGGUAACGGCUUACCAAGGCAACGAUGCAUAGCCGACCUGAGAGGGUGAUCGGCCACACUGGAACUGAGACACGGUCCAGACUCCUACGGGAGGCAGCAGUAGGGAAUCUUCCGCAAUGGGCGAAAGCCUGACGGAGCAACGCCGCGUGAGUGAUGAAGGUCUUCGGAUCGUAAAACUCUGUUAUUAGGGAAGAACAUAUGUGUAAGUAACUGUGCACAUCUUGACGGUACCUAAUCAGAAAGCCACGGCUAACUACGUGCCAGCAGCCGCGGUAAUACGUAGGUGGCAAGCGUUAUCCGGAAUUAUUGGGCGUAAAGCGCGCGUAGGCGGUUUUUUAGUCUGAUGUGAAAGCCCACGGCUCACCCGUGGAGGGUCAUUGGAAACUGGAAAACUUGAGUGCAGAAGAGGAAAGUGGAAUUCCAUGUGUAGCGGUGAAAUGCGCAGAGAUAUGGAGGAACACCAGUGGCGAAGGCGACUUUCUGGUCUGUAACUGACGCUGAUGUGCGAAAGCGUGGGGAUCAAACAGGAUUAGAUACCCUGGUAGUCCACGCCGUAAACGAUGAGUGCUAAGUGUUAGGGGGUUUCCGCCCCUUAGUGCUGCAGCUAACGCAUUAAGCACUCCGCCUGGGGAGUACGACCGCAAGGUUGAAACUCAAAGGAAUUGACGGGGACCCGCACAAGCGGUGGAGCAUGUGGUUUAAUUCGAAGCAACGCGAAGAACCUUACCAAAUCUUGACAUCCUUUGACAACUCUAGAGAUAGAGCCUUCCCCUUCGGGGGACAAAGUGACAGGUGGUGCAUGGUUGUCGUCAGCUCGUGUCGUGAGAUGUUGGGUUAAGUCCCGCAACGAGCGCAACCCUUAAGCUUAGUUGCCAUCAUUAAGUUGGGCACUCUAAGUUGACUGCCGGUGACAAACCGGAGGAAGGUGGGGAUGACGUCAAAUCAUCAUGCCCCUUAUGAUUUGGGCUACACACGUGCUACAAUGGACAAUACAAAGGGCAGCGAAACCGCGAGGUCAAGCAAAUCCCAUAAAGUUGUUCUCAGUUCGGAUUGUAGUCUGCAACUCGACUACAUGAAGCUGGAAUCGCUAGUAAUCGUAGAUCAGCAUGCUACGGUGAAUACGUUCCCGGGUCU